RNAcentral lists this ribosomal RNA (775 nucleotides) under uncultured Neocallimastigales. Its description in RNAcentral is "partial large subunit ribosomal RNA". It matches the Rfam family "Eukaryotic large subunit ribosomal RNA", at positions 24 to 632 of the family's 3401-position model. Lineage: Eukaryota; Fungi; Neocallimastigomycota; Neocallimastigomycetes; Neocallimastigales. The record is from RNAcentral.
ACGACUACAUAUCAGGCAUAUCAAUAAGCGGAGGAAAAGGAAACUAACAAGGAUUCCCCUAGUAACGGCGAGUGAAGCGGGAAGAGCUCAAAUUUGAAAUCUUAAAGGGUUUCCCUUUACGAAUUGUAGUUUAAAGAAGUGUUUUCUGUUGGAGUUUCGGUAAAAGUUCUUUGGAAUAGGACAUCAUAGAGGGUGAGAAUCCCGUAUUUGACCGUUACUUUCCAGCUGUGUGAUACACUUUCAAAGAGUCGGAUUGUUUGGGAAUGCAGUCCAAGAUGGGUGGUAAAUUUCAUCUAAAGCUAAAUAUUGGCGAGAGACCGAUAGCGAACAAGUACCGUGAGGGAAAGAUGAAAAGAACUUUGAAAAGAGAGUUAAACAGUACGUGAAAUUGUCAAAAGGGAAGCGUUUGACACCAGUGUUGUUUAGUUGAAAAUCAAUUCAAUAGUUUUUGAUUCUAAGUAGUAUUGACUUCAUCAGCUUGCUGCUUUCUUCUCAGAAAUUAUUGAAUGCACUUUUCAGUUAACAAGUCAACAUCAAUUUCUUUUGUUGUAAAAGGGUAAGAGGAAGGUGGCUUGCGCUUCGGCUCAAGUGUUUAUAGCCUUUUAUCUCUGCAAUCGGAGAGAUUGAGGUCUGCAGCGUAGAUCCUUCGGGGUUAGAUACAUUGGUGCUAAGCUAUAGCCUUGUAUAGACAACUUGUUGACUAUGCUCAGUCAUGUAGCUUACUCGCUGAUGCUAUUUUACCUACGCUUAGGAUGUUGAUCUACAGAGCGAGAGU